Molecule: long non-coding RNA, 454 nt
Organism: Benincasa hispida (wax gourd)
Lineage: Eukaryota; Viridiplantae; Streptophyta; Magnoliopsida; Cucurbitales; Cucurbitaceae
Source: RefSeq, a predicted model, not a curated record
AGCCGUGGACAGCCAGAUUCGACUUCGGCCUCUUCGCACCGCCCAGAUCCGAUUCCAGUCUCCCACACCGAAGUUGCCCGCGUUCGAGCCGCUUCGUCCGAACCGACCAGCGUCGCUCUAGACGCGUCUACACUGAAGCCACCACCGCUAGCGCCACUUUUCUUUUUCAAUCGACUAGAUCUGCGUCGGAUUCCUCCUGUUUCCGCCGUCGUUGCUUGUGCCGUCAUCAGAUUUAUCAACUUGGGUAAGAGUAGGGACGCGCUGGCGAAUGACAAGCAAAAUCCAUGAUCGAGCCACUAGGAUCAAUUUUUUUAUGCUUCCGCAAAUAAGACAGAUUUUUUUUCAUGUUUUUGCUAAAUUUUCAGUUUUGAUGUUUGUAACUUAUUAUUGAGAAUUGUUUUUCAUACUUAUUUAUUAACCUUAUGAUUUAUGGGUACCUUAUUAUUGUUUUUAA